CGCCGUUUCUCUCCACCCUUUCCCCCCAUCUUCUUCUUCUUCUUUUCCCCCUCAGCAGCCGUUCUAACUCCGAAUGAAGGAUCCAGACCACUGACGAAAGAAGCCUAAGGACUCGGCCACAGACGAAAUAGACCUAGGACCUCCUCAAACAAACCGACACCCCUCAAAUGACCAAAACCUUCCCUAAUCUUCUCCGACACCCUCUGAAAAUAGGGUAAAUAAACGUGAACCAACGAGACCAUACCCUCCGACCACCGUUAGGAACCACCGAGGAAACCUAAACGACCGAAGACCCAACUCCACUGUUAUUUUAGUGCCCCGGAAAUCUCGACUCCGACGACUACUAAAAGACUCUAGCGGGGACCCGAACGACUAAGGCGGAGCCACCGAGACCCUACUGUCGUUUACACAACCAAGGGCAUGGGGUCUUCACGAGGGAGCAUGGACAGCAUGGGUGGUCUUCACGUAGGCGUUGUAGUGCUUCACAUGGACAGCUCGAUGGUGGACCACUAUGGCACUAAGUAUGGGUCUUUCUUGGUGGGUGACAACAGCACGGGCUUUGGUGAGUGGCGCACUGUCUCGGUGGUCUGGAGUGGUGUCGGGCGUGCGGUUGGCUGUGGCUUCUGCUCGGUCAGUGUGGCGCAUCAUAAGGUUUUCACGUGGGCAGCAGUGGCAUCGUGUUAAAGAUGGAAAUGGUGCAAAAUGGGUCGGGUCUGAUGUAGUGGGCUUCUAUUUUGAGGUUGAUGUUGGGCUCUGUAAUUGGGUCCAUUAUUUGUAAUUUGGUUUGGGCUUGUAAGAUGGA
This is a long non-coding RNA of Hibiscus syriacus, 802 nucleotides long. RefSeq lists it as uncharacterized. The record is from RefSeq and is a predicted model, not a curated record. The transcript is spliced from 3 exons. Lineage: Eukaryota; Viridiplantae; Streptophyta; Magnoliopsida; Malvales; Malvaceae.